CGGAGCACAUGGGAAUAUGCACAAUGGGCGCAAGCCUGAUGCAGCGACGCCGCGUGAGGGAUGACGGCCUUCGGGUUGUAAACCUCUUUCGCCAGGACGAAGCGCAAGUGACGGUACCUGGAGAAGAAGGACCGGCCAACUACGUGCCAGCAGCCGCGGUAAUACGUAGGGUCCGAGCGUUGUCCGGAAUUACUGGGCGUAAAGAGCUCGUAGGUGGUUUGUCGCGUUGUUCGUGAAAACUCACAGCUCAACUGUGGGCGUGCGGGCGAUACGGGCAGACUGGAGUACUGCAGGGGAGACUGGAAUUCCUGGUGUAGCGGUGGAAUGCGCAGAUAUCAGGAGGAACACCGGUGGCGAAGGCGGGUCUCUGGGCAGUAACUGACGCUGAGGAGCGAAAGCGUGGGGAGCGAACAGGAUUAGAUACCCUGGUAGUCCACGCCGUAAACGGUGGGUACUAGGUGUGGGUUUCCUUCCUUGGGAUCCGUGCCGUAGCUAACGCAUUAAGUACCCCGCCUGGGGAGUACGGCCGCAAGGCUAAAACUCAAAGAAAUUGACGGGGGCCCGCACAAGCGGCGGAGCAUGUGGAUUAAUUCGAUGCAACGCGAAGAACCUUACCUGGGUUUGACAUGCACAGGACGUGCCUAGAGAUAGGUAUUCCCUUGUGGCCUGUGUGCAGGUCGUGCAUGGCUGUC
This 692-nucleotide ribosomal RNA is filed under the name Mycolicibacterium austroafricanum. Its description in RNAcentral is "bacterial SSU rRNA". It matches the Rfam family "Bacterial small subunit ribosomal RNA", at positions 347 to 1053 of the family's 1533-position model. The record is from RNAcentral. Lineage: Bacteria; Bacillati; Actinomycetota; Actinomycetes; Mycobacteriales; Mycobacteriaceae.